UCUGCAGUGACGGUAGCAAGUUCAAUAACGUGUAGUGCAUACGUUUUCUCUCAGCUACAAAGCACCUUCCUUAAGAAAUGCUUAUAAAAUAUUCAAUGUAAACUACUGAAGAAACUCAUAUUUAGUAGUACUCCCCAAGCUCUACUGUAUGUGCACUGCUUCAUCCUUAUUGUCAGUGUACCUCCAUUGCCCAGGAACACCAUGGCAGAAGAAGAUAGAAAAAGGAUCUACAACUGAGUGAUGUCUGAUACCAGAUACCUCAUGAUGUGAUACCUGCCUGCUGCUGGACUUUCCUGGGCCUGCUACCUGAGACCUACCUGUUUCUCCUGGACUCGCUCUUGCUGCACCUGCUUGUUGCCUAAGGCUGGCCGCUCUGCUGCUGCUCUCCUCUGCGCCCUUGCUCCUGUAUUGGCCUUGGACCAUCGGAAUGGUGUGCAAUGGGAUGCUGCUGGAUCUUGGUGGUGACUAUCCCCAUUUUACAUAAUUCUUGCUCCUUUCCUAUCUUUCCUAUCACC
Molecule: long non-coding RNA, 515 nt
Organism: Gallus gallus (chicken)
Lineage: Eukaryota; Metazoa; Chordata; Aves; Galliformes; Phasianidae
Source: Ensembl